Molecule: ribosomal RNA, 468 nt
Filed under: uncultured bacterium
Lineage: Bacteria
Description: partial 16S ribosomal RNA
Rfam family: Bacterial small subunit ribosomal RNA
Source: RNAcentral
GACGAACACUGGCGGCGUGCUUAACACAUGCAAGUCGAACGGAAAGGCCCGGCUUUUGUGGGGUGCUCGAGUGGCGAACGGGUGAGUAACACGUGAGUAACCUGCCCUUGACUUUGGGAUAACUUCAGGAAACUGGGGCUAAUACCGGAUAGGAGCUCCUGCUGCAUGGUGGGGGUUGGAAAGUUUCGGCGGUUGGGGAUGGACUCGCGGCUUAUCAGCUUGUUGGUGGGGUAGUGGCUUACCAAGGCUUUGACGGGUAGCCGGCCUGAGAGGGUGACCGGCCACAUUGGGACUGAGAUACGGCCCAGACUCCUACGGGAGGCAGCAGUGGGGAAUAUUGCACAAUGGGCGGAAGCCUGAUGCAGCAACGCCGCGUGCGGGAUGACGGCCUUCGGGUUGUAAACCGCUUUCGCCUGUGACGAAGCGUGAGUGACGGUAAUGGGUAAAGAAGCACCGGCUAACUACGUG